RNAcentral lists this ribosomal RNA (262 nucleotides) under uncultured bacterium. RNAcentral's name for it is "partial 16S ribosomal RNA". It matches the Rfam family "Bacterial small subunit ribosomal RNA", at positions 514 to 775 of the family's 1533-position model. The record is from RNAcentral.
GCCGCGGUAAGGCGGAGGAGGCUAGCGUUGUUCGGAAUUACUGGGCGUAAAGCGUGCGUAGGCGGCCCUGUUAGUCGGAGGUGAAAUCCCGGAGCUCAACUCCGGAACUGCCUCCGAGACGGCAGGGCUUGAGUGAAGGAGAGGAGAGCGGAAUUCCCAGUGUAGAGGUGAAAUUCGUAGAUAUUGGGAAGAACACCGGUGGCGAAGGCGGCUCUCUGGCCUUUUUCUGACGCUGAGGCACGAAAGCGUGGGGAGCAAACAG